GUUUUCUUUCAAGACAAUUUUUUUCCUCUGCUGCUUCUUUAUAAGCCAUAAUUCAAACCAUUUGUUUGUGUUUAUCUUGUCAAUUGACUGAUCAACACAAUUGAUCACACACACUGAGAAAUAUGUAUGGUUCAUAAAUAAUUUCUUUUAAGGGAUACGAUUUCAAUCAUUCAGCUGAAUGAGUGUUCACAUUUCGAAGAUGAAAUCACUGUACACUUAGUCGAAGUAGUUAAUUGUUCAAAAUCGUAUACAUUUUCAUCUUUGGUGUCUUUGAAUUAACGUAAAUCACAUACAGAAUUAAUCUCAUCAUUUUUAGUUGUUUGUGAUAAGUGACGUAGGUACACUAUACAGUCGUCAGCCAUCACCACAUUAGAUAUUAAAAUUGUCAAUUUUUAGAAAUAUUAAUAUCUAUAUAAUACAAUAAUUGCUUAUACUUUUAUUUAAACCACUGAGAGGAAACGUUAGUCG
This is a non-coding RNA of Cinara cedri, 468 nucleotides long. NCBI's taxonomy places the organism in Eukaryota, Metazoa, Arthropoda, Insecta, Hemiptera, Aphididae. The record is from the annotation of a GenBank genome assembly.